GGAUUAGAUACCCGGGUAGUCCACGCCGUAAACGAUGUCGACUUGGAGGCUGUGCCCUUGAGGCGUGGCUUCCGGAGCUAACGCGUUAAGUCGACCGCCUGGGGAGUACGGCCGCAAGGUUAAAACUCAAAUGAAUUGACGGGGGCCCGCACAAGCGGUGGAGCAUGUGGUUUAAUUCGAUGCAACGCGAAGAACCUUACCUACUCUUGACAUCCAGAGAACUCGCCAGAGAUGGCUUGGUGCCUUCGGGAACUCUGAGACAGGUGCUGCAUGGCUGUCGUCAGCUCGUGUUGUGAAAUGUUGGGUUAAGUCCCGCAACGAGCGCAACUCUUAUCCUUUGUUGCCAGCGAGUAAUGUCGGGAACUCAAAGGAGACUGCCAGUGAUAAACUGG
Molecule: ribosomal RNA, 392 nt
Filed under: uncultured bacterium
Lineage: Bacteria
Description: bacterial SSU rRNA
Rfam family: Bacterial small subunit ribosomal RNA
Source: RNAcentral